RNAcentral lists this ribosomal RNA (251 nucleotides) under uncultured prokaryote. RNAcentral's name for it is "partial 16S ribosomal RNA". It matches the Rfam family "Bacterial small subunit ribosomal RNA", at positions 524 to 774 of the family's 1533-position model. The record is from RNAcentral.
UACGGAGGAUGCAAGCGUUAUCCGGAUUUAUUGGGUUUAAAGGGUGCGUAGGCGGAUAUGUAAGUCAGCGGUGAAACUCACAGGCUCAACCUGUGCCGUGCCGUUGAAACUGUGUAUCUGGAAUGCGGAUGCUGUGGGAGGAAUGUGUAGUGUAGCGGUGAAAUGCAUAGAUAUUACACAGAACACCGAUUGCGAAGGCAGUCUUCCAAGCCGUUAUUGACGCUCAACUGCGAAGGUGUGGGUAUCAAACA